GACGAACGCUGGCGGCGUGCUUAACACAUGCAAGUCGAACGGAAAGGCCCUGCUUUUGUGGGGUGCUCGAGUGGCGAACGGGUGAGUAACACGUGAGUAACCUGCCCUUGACUUUGGGAUAACUUCAGGAAACUGGGGCUAAUACCGGAUAGGAGCUCCUGCUGCAUGGUGGGGGUUGGAAAGUUUCGGCGGUUGGGGAUGGACUCGCGGCUUAUCAGCUUGUUGGUGGGGUAGUGGCUUACCAAGGCUUUGACCGGUAGCCGGCCUGAGAGGGUGACCGGCCACAUUGGGACUGAGCUACGGCCCAGCCUCCUCCGGGAGGCAGCAGUGGGGAAUAUUGCACAAUGGGCGGAAGCCUGAUGCAGCCACGCCGCGUGCGGGAUGACGGCCUUCGGGUUGUAAACCGCUUUCGCCUGUGACGAAGCGUGAGUGACGGUAAUGGGUAAAGAAGCACCGGCUAACUACGUG
This 468-nucleotide ribosomal RNA is filed under the name uncultured bacterium. Its description in RNAcentral is "partial 16S ribosomal RNA". It matches the Rfam family "Bacterial small subunit ribosomal RNA", at positions 28 to 507 of the family's 1533-position model. The record is from RNAcentral.